RNAcentral lists this unclassified non-coding RNA (1391 nucleotides) under uncultured Neocallimastigales. RNAcentral's name for it is "partial contains small subunit ribosomal RNA, internal transcribed spacer 1, 5.8S ribosomal RNA, internal transcribed spacer 2, and large subunit ribosomal RNA". The stretch from base 610 to 1391 matches the Rfam family "Eukaryotic large subunit ribosomal RNA", at positions 1 to 629 of the family's 3401-position model. The record is from RNAcentral. Lineage: Eukaryota; Fungi; Neocallimastigomycota; Neocallimastigomycetes; Neocallimastigales.
UUUCCGUAGGUGAACCUGCGGAAGGAUCAUUAAAAAAUGUGGUACCAUUUGUUGGUACUAAUUAAUCAUCCUACCCUUUGUGAAUUUGUUUGUAACGAAUUUUUUUAAAUGGGUCUUUCCCUAAGUUGGAUUGUAGUAAAAAUACAAAAAGACUUAGGGGAAUGACUUUUUUAAAAGACUUUUUUUUAAAUUAAAACUUUUUGUAUUCAUUUGUCUAAAAUUUAUUUUUAUAAUAUAAAAACAACUUUGACGAUGGAUCUCUUGGUUCUCGCAACGAUGAAGAACGCAGCAAAAUGCGAUAAGUUAGUGUGAAUUGCAGAAUACAGUGAAUCAUCGAAUCUUUCGAACGCAUAUGUGCACUUUUUUAGUUUACUAAAAAGUAUGUCUGUUUGAGUAUCAGUAAAAUAUUCUCACAAAACAAUUUGUUUGUGGUUAUGAGUGUUUUAUACAACGAUAAACAAGUUGUUUCACUUUAAAUUCUUUUUAAUGAAUUUUACCAAUUCAUAAAUUAAAAUUGGAUAAAAUUUUCCUUUAACGAGGAAUAACCUAAACAAUUUUAAAUUUUAUGGAUUAAUACAUUCAACAAAGGAAUCUAUACAACAAAUAACUUGAUCCCAAAUCAGAUAAGAGUACCCGCUGAACUUAAGCAUAUCAAUAAGCGGAGGAAAGAAACUAACAAGGAUUCCCUUAGUAACGGCGAGUGAAGCGGGAAGAGCUCAAAUUUGAAAUCUUCAAGGUUUGACCUUGGACGAAUUGUAGUUUAUAGAAGUGUUUUCUGUUGGAGUUUUGGUAAAAGUUCUUUGGAAUAGGAACAUCAUAGAGGGUGAGAAUCCCGUAUUUGACCAUGACUUUCCAGCUGUGUGAUACACUUUCAAAAGAGUCGGAUUGUUUGGGAAUGCAGUCCAAAAUGGGUGGUAAAUUCAUCUAAAGCUAAAUAUUGGCGAGAGACCGAUAGCGAACAAGUACCGUGAGGAAAGAUGAAAAGAACUUUGAAAAGAGAGUUAAACAGUACGUGAAAUUGUCAAAAGGGAAGCGUUUGACACCAGUGUUGUUUUCUCGAAAAUCAAUUUAAUGAGUUCUUGUUUUUAGGUUAUUGUGACUUUAUCAGCGCAUUUCUUAUUUUACUUGACUCAUUGAAUGCACUUUUCGUUUAACAAGUCAACAUCAAUUUCUUUGGUGGUAAAAAGUUAAAGGAAGGUGGCUUGGACUUCGGUUCAAAGUGUUUAUAGCCUUUUUUCUAUGCCAUCGGAGAGAUUGAGGUCUGCAGCGUAGAUCCUUCGGGGUUAGAUACCUUUGUGCUAAGUUAUAGUUUUUUAUAGACAACUUGUUGACUAUAAUUAACCCUGUAAUUUACUCGCUUAGGCUAUUUUACCUACGCUUAGGAUGUUGAG